This is a long non-coding RNA of Cyprinus carpio carpio, 2216 nucleotides long. Lineage: Eukaryota; Metazoa; Chordata; Actinopteri; Cypriniformes; Cyprinidae. The record is from Ensembl.
AUAGGGUUCCAGCCGUAGAGGCCAGGGCUGGGGCCGCGGCCUUGGAGGCUGAUCCACCAUGGCCUCCUGAACUGUCUGCUCUGCCAUGGCACCCAGAACGGGUACCACUCUGGAGGCCUGCUGUCCUGUGUCUGUCCUGAGGGGCCUCCAGAGGACACGCCUUCCAGGAGGUGGAAGUAAUGUCAGUGUUUUGGACUUUUUUUACCCAUCGUGGUUCCUGGUUUUCCUUAUAUGGUCAUUUUCCUAUCUUGUUUAGUUUGAUUGCCUUAUCCUAUGCACCAGUGUUUGCAAUUUUGCAAUUUGCACACUGACAUGUAGAGCUUAAGUACUUUUUUUUCAUCACAAUGUCCAUUUAUUAUCAGUGACCCUACUAUUCAAUAUAUAUUUUUUAGAACCAUGGCUAAUACCAAAAAAAAAAGUCUCAAAAUAUUUUUCAAUGUUUUUGCAUUCCCACGAGAAACUUUGUUCUCUCGCAAAAAUAUAGAUUUUUAAAUAUAGAAAAACUACAAUUUGUUCAAAAACCCAUAUAAUUCAUAAUAAUCUGAAUUUUAAUCAUUCUUUUUGUUACCAUCAAAUAAGUCUGUUUGGUUGUUCAUGUGUGUGUGUGAAUGCUGGAAUUUUUUUAGAGAGCUUUUAGCAAGACUGCAGACACAAAAAUGAAUAAUAAAAAAAAUAAUAAUAAUUGGAUCUUUGGACACAGUUUGCCUUUCAUAAUAGACAUCUGUGUUUCCUUAUUCUUGAAAACUGCUAGCCGCCACUUGUGUACAGUUUGUUAAUUGUGUUUUUGAGAAGAUUAUACGAAGAGCCUAAGGAGCUAUGAUUUCAUGGUACUGCUUAUUUAAUAAUUUAGCUUGAAAUUUGGUUACUUACGGAUGGAUGUUUGAAUGUCUGUUAUUAGCAGCACUGCACUGCACUACUUGCACUGAAGUCACCCACAGAGAAUGCUGUACUGUGGUAGAAGAAAAAAAAAUCUUUCAUUUAAGUCUUACUGUGUUUUCAGGCCAGUUUGUUUUUACUUGCAAAGGUUUUUCAUUCAAAGUCUGCUGAAAAGACUAUUGACCUGAUUUACAGUACUUUUGGAAAGUUGAUUUGCAGAAAGUCAUUUCCCUUAUAUUUUCAUAUUUUAACAUAAAAUAUUUCUUGUUUGAUGACACACAUGACUGUUUUCCAUUUUGCAGACAGAUGUCCUCUCUUGUACCCUUAAAAAACAUUUAAGGACUCCACACUUUAGAUAUUCUUGUUUAAUCUAUUUGAAUGAGCGAGCCUGAGAAUCAUGCAAUUGUGUGUCUGUGAAAAAGAGCAUUACAUUGGAUUGUUUACGGAGUAGAACAGUUUUGCACAAAUUACAGAAUAGGCAAUUUUUUAAUUUAUUUUUUUAUUUUUAUUUUUAUUUUAUUAUUAUUAUUAUUUAAAUUUUUUAACAUUUUUUUUUUUCAGUUAUUAAUUUGAAGGUUCUAACAAUGAACAAGACACAGUAUGAAUAUUCAGCUGCUUAGUCCGUUUAUUUUUUUUAAAUAUUUUUUUAUCGCAGAUGGCGUACGCUCUUCUUUAUCAGCUGCGCCACAAGGUUAAAUUUUUUUACGUAUAUUUACGCUUUGGUUUGAAAGCAAACAACGCAUCGGCGCAGCACGGCUGACACAGAAGAGCGUACGCCGCUUGCAUACUGCUCAAAAUUGCCAAAAUGGCACUACGCUGAUUUGGAGAGACACAGAGGAGAGGAAUUGUUGAAUAAAGUCGUUAUUUUUGUUUUCUUCGUGUACAAAAAGUAUUCUCGUUGCUUCAUAACGUUACGGUUGAAUCACUGAUGGCAGAUGGACUAUUCUGACGAUGCUUUUCAUACUUUCCUGGACCUUGAGACUGUUAUUUAUUUGGCAGUCUAUGGGACAAUCUCAAGCCUCCCUGUUUUAACCCUUUAAAUUUUGAUUUAUGAUUACUGUGACAGGAAGGAAGACCUUUUCAUUAAAUAAAAAUAAUCAUUUGACAUCACAUUCUGAUGGGUCAUUUUAGUAUUUUUUUUUUUUUAAGAAUUUUUUCAUUACCUUGGAGUAAUGCAAUUGAGCUGUGAUCAUAUAAAAUGGUACUGGAACCAUGGCAGAUCAAACAGACUGUGUGUUUAGUUGUGAAUAUUUUAAGCUUAAAUGAACACAGGCUGUGGAAACAUGAGCUUGGCAUGCCUGGAUGUCACAUUGCUGUUCUAGAUAACACCAGAUAAUGGA